UACGUAGGGGGCUAGCGUUGUCCGGAAUCAUUGGGCGUAAAGCGCGUGUAGGCGGUCCGGUAAGUCCGCUGUGAAAGUCGGGGGCUCAACCCUCGGAUGCCGGUGGAUACUGUCGGGCUUGAGUACGGAAGAGGCGAGUGGAAUUCCUGGUGUAGCGGUGAAAUGCGCAGAUAUCAGGAGGAACACCAAUUGCGAAGGCAACUCGCUGGGACGUUACUGACGCUGAGACGCGAAAGCGUGGGGAGCAAACAGG
Molecule: ribosomal RNA, 253 nt
Filed under: uncultured bacterium
Lineage: Bacteria
Description: partial 16S ribosomal RNA
Rfam family: Bacterial small subunit ribosomal RNA
Source: RNAcentral